Molecule: ribosomal RNA, 465 nt
Filed under: uncultured bacterium
Lineage: Bacteria
Description: partial 16S ribosomal RNA
Rfam family: Bacterial small subunit ribosomal RNA
Source: RNAcentral
CCUACGGGUGGCAGCAGUGGGGAAUAUUGCGCAAUGGGCGAAAGCCUGACGCAGCGACGCCGCGUGAGGGAUGAAGGUCUUCGGAUCGUAAACCUCUGUCAGCAGGGAAGAACGGUCACUGUGCUAAUCAGCAGUGAAUUGACGGUACCUGCAAAGGAAGCACCGGCUAACUCCGUGCCAGCAGCCGCGGUAAUACGGAGGGGGCGAGCGUUAAUCGGAAUUACUGGGCGUAAAGCGCUCGUAGGCGGUAUGUCAAGUCAAGGGUGAAAGCCCCGGGCUCAACGUGGGAACUGCCUUUGAAACGGGCAAACUGGAGUGUGUGAGAGGAUAGUGGAAUUCCAGGUGUAGGAGUGAAAUCCGUAGAUAUCUGGAGGAACAUCAGUGGCGAAGGCGACUAUCUGGCACAUAACUGACGCUGAGGAGCGAAAGCGUGGGUAGCAAACAGGAUUAGAUACCCGGGUAGUC